GACGUAGGGCGCGAGCGUUGUCCGGAUUUAUUGGGCGUAAAGCGCUCGUAGGCGGCUUGUCGCGUCGGCCGUGAAAACCUGCAGCUCAACUGCAGGCUUGCGGUCGAUACGGGCAGGCUAGAGUUCGGAAGAGGCGAGUGGAAUUCCUGGUGUAGCGGUGAAAUGCGCAGAUAUCAGGAAGAACACCAAUGGCGAAGGCAGCUCUCUGGGACGGUACUGACGCUGAGACGCGAAAGCGUGGGGAGCGAACAGG
This 253-nucleotide ribosomal RNA is filed under the name uncultured bacterium. RNAcentral describes it as "partial 16S ribosomal RNA". It matches the Rfam family "Bacterial small subunit ribosomal RNA", at positions 524 to 776 of the family's 1533-position model. The record is from RNAcentral.